Non-coding RNA from Paramuricea clavata, 465 nucleotides. The record is from the annotation of a GenBank genome assembly. Lineage: Eukaryota; Metazoa; Cnidaria; Anthozoa; Malacalcyonacea; Plexauridae.
CUCGAUAGUCGAUAUGUAAAUACUAAAUGGUACAUUAUAUGGAUCAAUGCAAACUGGAACAAAACAACAAUUGUCAAUUGAAGUUCUAAUUUUGGGAAAAUUAGUAACAAAUAUAAAAUCACUAAACAGCUCAUCGAUUUGUAUGUUUGCGCUAUUAAAAGUAGACAAUAUUGAACAAUGAUCUGAAGUUGUCACGCAACUGACAACAAUAUUAUAUUUCAAAAUACCUGUAUAUGAUGAUAUUUUACAAAUAUCUCGGGAUUUUUGGACCAAUUUUAAACUAAGCAAGGUAAAAAGUCUCCAUUCAAGAAUAUAUCUUCUUCUCAAAAGGUAAAAUACUUAAAAUACUUGAUUAAAUUGUUUACUUCGACGGUAUGUAAAUUAACAGCGUUUGACUUGCAAGACGUCAAAAACGGAAGAUUUCAACGCGCUGUCGUUUAUCGCGUAUUCAUUUGCCAAAAGAAG